This 507-nucleotide ribosomal RNA is filed under the name uncultured bacterium. Its description in RNAcentral is "partial 16S ribosomal RNA". The stretch from base 13 to 372 matches the Rfam family "Bacterial small subunit ribosomal RNA", at positions 40 to 399 of the family's 1533-position model. The record is from RNAcentral.
GACGAACGCUGGCGGCGUGCUUAACACAUGCAAGUCGAACGGAAAGGCCCUGCUUUUGUGGGGUGCUCGAGUGGCGAACGGGUGAGUAACACGUGAGUAACCUGCCCUUGACUUUGGGAUAACUUCAGGAAACUGGGGCUAAUACCGGAUAGGAGCUCCUGCUGCAUGGUGGGGGUUGGAAAGUUUCGGCGGUUGGGGAUGGACUCGCGGCUUAUCAGCUUGUUGGUGGGGUAGUGGCUUACCAAGGCUUUGACGGGUAGCCGGCCUGAGAGGGUGACCGGGCAGGUAGGGAGGGAGAGCAGGAGCAGCCUCAGAGGUGAGGCAGCAGGGGGGAUUGUGGAAGAAGGGGCGUAGACCAGAAGCAGCACGGCGGGGUGGAGGAGGGGGCAUUUGUGGGUGCAAGCUGCGGGGGCAUGGGACGGAGGGGGAGGGAGGGUAAGGGGUAAGGAGUCACUGGCAAACCACGAGCAAGGAGCGGCGGAAAUGGUGAAGAACCAAGCGGCUGCA